RNAcentral lists this long non-coding RNA (447 nucleotides) under Zostera marina. Its description in RNAcentral is "long non-coding RNA (ZMAR_LNC002450)". Lineage: Eukaryota; Viridiplantae; Streptophyta; Magnoliopsida; Alismatales; Zosteraceae. The record is from RNAcentral.
UUCUCGUCAAUCGAUCGAUCUGUAAUUUGUAAAUCUACUGCGCUUUUUUUUUUAUAAUUCCCAGAUCCAAUUAUCCCAAAUCCAAAUUCAACAUAAAAAACAAUGAUAAGUUCGAGAUUCAGAAAAUCAAUCAAGCAUGAACUAGAUUACAAAAAUAGAAAUAGUCUCUUCUUGCCUGGUCUGGUUUGGUCGGGGCUUCUCAGUUCAGCUCUGAACUUCCUCCGGUGAGGAAAUUCAAUUAAAUUACAUCCUUAAAAAUGACUAUGGGGAAUGGAUGAAUGGAAUUAACCAUGUACAUAGGAUUCUGGUAUUUUAUUGCUGCUAAUUAAAUCAAUAUACAACUAACAAAUGACCUGCUCUUUCUGCGUUUCGAUCUUCUUCAUCUGACUGUGCUGCGUGGUAUGUGACGUAAAGUAUUCUUUUCAACUAUUUCCAUGGCUAACUAAU